RNAcentral lists this long non-coding RNA (776 nucleotides) under Oryctolagus cuniculus (rabbit). Its description in RNAcentral is "lncRNA (ENSOCUG00000037112.1)". The record is from RNAcentral. Lineage: Eukaryota; Metazoa; Chordata; Mammalia; Lagomorpha; Leporidae.
CAUCUGGGCGUGCACGGUUCAGCACCUUGAGGAAGUCAGACGUUUGUGCCCGCACACGGGUGUGCAUACAGGCCUCAGAGCACUCGAUGUGGUAAUGCAGCAAGCCCAGGGGAGGGUCUCUGUGGCUGGAGAGGACCUGAGGGACUGUGUGACCGGCUCUGCGGCCUUAGAACUCCUGCAAGAACAUCUGUCCUAGGACCACAUCAUCGUCAUCCUUAAACAUGGUGCUGAAGACUGCUGAGUCUGUCCUUUUUACACCCAGCAUACACGGCCUCCUCACCCCUAGGACGGAUAGCUGCCCUGUUCUCUCCUUCUCUGCCUUCUUCUUGGAAUUGGAAGUAUUUCUCAAAGGCAGAGGCAAAACGGCUCCACGUCCACAUGCCAGCCUGAUGUACGUGGAAUCCUCUCUGCAGGCAGACUAUGGAGGUCGGCUAGCAAAGAGACACUCCAUCCUGAUUCUGGAUUCACCAGGAAACCCCUGCACAUCGUUUUUAAUGACUCCUGAGCGCCAUGUGCCUGAAGUUCUUUGUAGAAAUCCCAUCGCCUUGGUGUUCUCUCCAUUAGGAUUUGAAAUACGAUGGAGGACGCCAUCAGAAUCUGCAGAUGUUACUUCUGCUCCUGGUUUGUUUCCUGCUGCCGCGUUCUCGACCUGGAGAGCGAGCGUCUCCUCCACGAUGCGGUUGUUCACCUCCUGCAUGGUCUACCUUGGCGGCAGCCGGCCCCGGAAGCCUCAGCCGCCUCGCCUCGCCGAUAAGGUUUCUGCCUGGGCUAAUUGA